Molecule: small RNA, 79 nt
Filed under: Xanthomonas arboricola
Lineage: Bacteria; Pseudomonadati; Pseudomonadota; Gammaproteobacteria; Lysobacterales; Lysobacteraceae
Description: sRNA sX9
Rfam family: Xanthomonas sRNA sX9
Source: RNAcentral
AUGUGCCAUGCGUGCACUGCGCUUCUGAGCGCGCGCUGUUCGAACACAUCUGACCACCGAUCGCGACGCUGUGUUGGCC